Long non-coding RNA from Zingiber officinale, 944 nucleotides. RefSeq lists it as uncharacterized. Lineage: Eukaryota; Viridiplantae; Streptophyta; Magnoliopsida; Zingiberales; Zingiberaceae. The record is from RefSeq and is a predicted model, not a curated record. The transcript has 4 exons.
AGGAAAAGUUUAUUUUAUUUUUCUUUUCCUAAUUCUUUUUCUUUUUCUUAUUUUUAUUUUUCGUUUUUCCCGUGUCCUCACCCAAAUCUCGCCGAGUCCUCUUCUUCCCCGCGCCUUCUCCCCCUCACGGCGAAUUUGCCCUAACCGCAACCGCAAGGAGGCGGUUUCCUCACUUCCUUGCCGUGCCCUAGCCGUGCGCCGCCGACGCCUCCUUCUCACUGCCUCUCCUCCGACAGUCGUUCGUCCCCUCGGCACUUCUUUUUCUCUUCUUCUCCACAGCAGCGACGUCGACUCCACAGCAUAAGCCCCGGCGUCGCGUGAGCCACUGCCGACCCACUCUUCUCCGAGCCGAUCCAUCUUCGCCAGCCGACGAGAGCCAAGGGAAGCCGGUUGCUUCUUCUCCGACGCGACAUUGCUACUGCCCGACACUGCCGGCCCUCCUUUAUGCCCUAGCCUCAGCCGCGACACCCGACUUCAGCGACGCCACUGCCUGGCCUCUGCCGCCGUCGAACGGAGAGUGUCGGUCACCCUUUCCUCUGCCCUCGAGCCCGAGCACUGCCGACGCAGAAGUUCAUCUGUGCCCUAGUACAUCUGCCGGCCAAUUUCUCCUUUGUUCUAGUAUCGGCGAUUGUACCUCCUUCCCUCUCUUGGCGGACGACUAGAGUCGUCGUAAAACAGGAGCUUAAGAAGGAGGCUGAGGGAAACAGUAGUCCGGCAAUGGGAUUGAAGCUUCGGACAUAACUUCCAGCAGCAAGAUCUGUGGUUGUGAGUUGGCAGGAAGAUACUUAGAGUGAGUGAAGAAUUUCAGCAGCCAACAACCCUUGACGGCAGUAACUUCAGCCAACAACUCUUUGAUUCCAGUACAAACCCAUGGCUGUGAAUUUAGGACUUUGACGCGAGACGAGUAUCUCGGAGUCAGAUUGGACCUUUCUAUUUUCGGAGGC